CAUAUCACCAAAAGGUCAAUUCAGUGAAACCGCCAGCGUGCUUUUCUGAUGGAGCUGACAGUGGGGCUUCGCUCCGCGUGUUCACAGCCCCAGCCAGAUUUGUCAGUGAUGUCGCCAGAAUCCCAGAGGGUGAGUCAGAGCUUACAUCUGAGUUCAUGGAAAAUCAGAAGUAUCUGGAGGCAAGGCCCGCCGCUGCCCGUCUCUUUCCUGGGGAGCCCAGGGUCCCUCUCAGGCGCUCCACUGCCCUGGAAGCCCGCGGGGUCCACAGUGGUCUCCUCUUCCUCUUCACCUGCGGGAACGACAAGAGCCAGGGCUCAGCUGAUGACACGUUUAGAAACGCCACUCCAACUGGCUCAAGUAACCAGCAAACUGCAAGGUGCAGACAGGCUUGGAAAGGCUUGAUCCGAGGCCAUGACAGGCUCUCCCGCUCUCGCUCCCUCCCUCUCAUUUACCCCGACGCUCCUCUGGGCUUUACAUGACGCGGAUGCUCAGGCGCUGGGAAAGCCGCCCUGGCAGCUCCACCUUUAGUCUCAUUCUGUGGGUCAGAAGGGAGGAAAACCUCCCUUACACCAGACUCUGAAAUCUCAAGGAGACUCGGAUGGGUGCUGCCUGGACCACACUGCCCCGCUUCAGUGGGGAAGGGAGAGUGCAGACAAACAGGGUGCCAGUAACUGCCCCCCCCACUGCAGUGACUGUGGUCCUCUUGAGGGCACACACAUCUGAGUUGCUCACCCAGGUCACCUGGACCGCCAACUGCCUCGCACAUAACAGGGGCCCCAUAAAAUGUUUUCUUAUGGAAUUAAAUGGACACUUAAUUACCUCCA
This is a non-coding RNA of Vicugna pacos (alpaca), 824 nucleotides long. The record is from RefSeq and is a predicted model, not a curated record. Lineage: Eukaryota; Metazoa; Chordata; Mammalia; Artiodactyla; Camelidae.